RNAcentral lists this ribosomal RNA (1343 nucleotides) under Escherichia coli. RNAcentral describes it as "partial 23S ribosomal RNA". It matches the Rfam family "Bacterial large subunit ribosomal RNA", at positions 1 to 1384 of the family's 2925-position model. Lineage: Bacteria; Pseudomonadati; Pseudomonadota; Gammaproteobacteria; Enterobacterales; Enterobacteriaceae. The record is from RNAcentral.
GUUAAGCGACUAAGCGUACACGGUGGAUGCCCUGGCAGUCAGAGGCGAUGAAGGACGUGCUAAUCUGCGAUAAGCGUCGGUAAGGUGAUAUGAACCGUUAUAACCGGCGAUUUCCGAAUGGGGAAACCCAGUGUGUUUCGACACACUAUCAUUAACUGAAUCCAUAGGUUAAUGAGGCGAACCGGGGGAACUGAAACAUCUAAGUACCCCGAGGAAAAGAAAUCAACCGAGAUUCCCCCAGUAGCGGCGAGCGAACGGGGAGCAGCCCAGAGCCUGAAUCAGUGUGUGUGUUAGUGGAAGCGUCUGGAAAGGCGCGCGAUACAGGGUGACAGCCCCGUACACAAAAAUGCACAUGCUGUGAGCUCGAUGAGUAGGGCGGGACACGUGGUAUCCUGUCUGAAUAUGGGGGGACCAUCCUCCAAGGCUAAAUACUCCUGACUGACCGAUAGUGAACCAGUACCGUGAGGGAAAGGCGAAAAGAACCCCGGCGAGGGGAGUGAAAAAGAACCUGAAACCGUGUACGUACAAGCAGUGGGAGCACGCUUAGGCGUGUGACUGCGUACCUUUUGUAUAAUGGGUCAGCGACUUAUAUUCUGUAGCAAGGUUAACCGAAUAGGGGAGCCGAAGGGAAACCGAGUCUUAACUGGGCGUUAAGUUGCAGGGUAUAGACCCGAAACCCGGUGAUCUAGCCAUGGGCAGGUUGAAGGUUGGGUAACACUAACUGGAGGACCGAACCGACUAAUGUUGAAAAAUUAGCGGAUGACUUGUGGCUGGGGGUGAAAGGCCAAUCAAACCGGGAGAUAGCUGGUUCUCCCCGAAAGCUAUUUAGGUAGCGCCUCGUGAAUUCAUCUCCGGGGGUAGAGCACUGUUUCGGCAAGGGGGUCAUCCCGACUUACCAACCCGAUGCAAACUGCGAAUACCGGAGAAUGUUAUCACGGGAGACACACGGCGGGUGCUAACGUCCGUCGUGAAGAGGGAAACAACCCAGACCGCCAGCUAAGGUCCCAAAGUCAUGGUUAAGUGGGAAACGAUGUGGGAAGGCCCAGACAGCCAGGAUGUUGGCUUAGAAGCAGCCAUCAUUUAAAGAAAGCGUAAUAGCUCACUGGUCGAGUCGGCCUGCGCGGAAGAUGUAACGGGGCUAAACCAUGCACCGAAGCUGCGGCAGCGACGCUUAUGCGUUGUUGGGUAGGGGAGCGUUCUGUAAGCCUGCGAAGGUGUGCUGUGAGGCAUGCUGGAGGUAUCAGAAGUGCGAAUGCUGACAUAAGUAACGAUAAAGCGGGUGAAAAGCCCGCUCGCCGGAAGACCAAGGGUUCCUGUCCAACGUUAAUCGGGGCAGGGUGAGU